RNAcentral lists this ribosomal RNA (485 nucleotides) under uncultured bacterium. RNAcentral describes it as "bacterial SSU rRNA". It matches the Rfam family "Bacterial small subunit ribosomal RNA", at positions 30 to 514 of the family's 1533-position model. The record is from RNAcentral.
AUUGAACGCUGGCGGCAGGCUUAACACAUGCAAGUCGAGCGGCAGCAAGCCUUCGGGCGUUGGCGAGCGGCGGACGGGUGAGUAAUGCAUAGGAAUCUGCCUGGUAGUGGGGGAUAGCCCGGGGAAACUCGGAUUAAUACCGCAUACGCCCUACGGGGGAAAGGAGGGGAUCUUCGGACCUUUCGCUAUCAGAUGAGCCUAUGUCGGAUUAGCUAGUUGGUGAGGUAAAGGCUCACCAAGGCGACGAUCCGUAACUGGUCUGAGAGGAUGAUCAGUCACACUGGAACUGAGACACGGUCCAGACUCCUACGGGAGGCAGCAGUGGGGAAUAUUGGACAAUGGGGAACCCUGAUCCAGCCAUGCCGCGUGUGCGAUGAAAGGCCCUUGGGUUGUAAACCGCUGUCAGAGGGGAUGAAAUCUCCGAGGGUUCUCCCUCGGAGUUGACAGAGCCUCAAAGGAAGCACGGGCUAAGUACGUGCCAGCAG